UCAGAUGUGGUGUAGGGUGCACAGCAGCUCCUUAUUGCUCGUAUGUCAGUAAUCUUAGAGCUGAAAGCCGGGGUUCGACUCCCCGCAUCUGAA
This is a non-coding RNA of Mycena rebaudengoi, 93 nucleotides long. The record is from the annotation of a GenBank genome assembly. NCBI's taxonomy places the organism in Eukaryota, Fungi, Basidiomycota, Agaricomycetes, Agaricales, Mycenaceae.